This is an RNA transcript of Varanus komodoensis (Komodo dragon), 10056 nucleotides long. It is a transcript of the gene named junction mediating and regulatory protein, p53 cofactor, with no coding region annotated. The transcript has 11 exons. Lineage: Eukaryota; Metazoa; Chordata; Lepidosauria; Squamata; Varanidae. The record is from RefSeq and is a predicted model, not a curated record.
UGAGUCCCCCUGUGCAACGGCGACUGCGAUUGAGAAAGAGCUCCCGUCCGGCGCGACAGCCGUGACAGAGGAAAGGACGGCGGCAGCGGCGGCACCAUGAGCACCUUCGCCUUGGAGGAGACGCUGGAGGCGGACUGGGUGGCUGUGAGGCCUCACGCCUUUCAUGAGCGGGAGAAGCACAAGUUCGUCUUCAUUGUGGCCUGGAAUGAGAUCGAGGGCAAGUUCGCCAUCACCUGCCACAACCGGACAGCGCAGAGGCAGCGCAGCGGCUCUCGGGAGCUCCGCCGUCGGGGUGGCGGCAGCAGCAGUCCCGGGGGAGCAGAACAGCGAGCAGCUUCCACCUCCACCAAGGCGGCCGGCAGUCCCACAAUGCGCAGGAGCCCGGCCUGGAGCGCCGCCGAGCUUAGCCAAGCCAGGAACUCGCCGGUGUCGCCUGUUCGGGCCGAGUCGCUGCCAAGGAGCCCCGGAGGCCGAGUGACUGAGACAGUGCAGAGGAGCCCGGCCAGGGCGAGGAGCAGUCAGGCCCGGAGGCCUCCGCCUGCUCCGAAGGCGCCCCUCAGCCCCGCGGCCUGCGUGGCCGAGGAUAUCGAGGUACUAGAGUUGGGAAAGGACGAGCCGGCGGGCGGCACCGCUUUCCUGUUGCCGUCCCCGCUCUCCGGGCCUCAAGCCGCCGAGACGCCCUCGGUGGCCUCUUCAGAGCAAGAGCCCUCGUCUGGGGAGGAGUGUAGCUGGGCCGGCCUCUUCUCCUUCCAGGAUCUGCGGGCCGUGCAUCAGCAGCUGUGCUCGGUGAAUUCCGAGUUGGAGCCCUGCUUACCGGUUCUUCCCGAAGAACCGUCGGGCAUGUGGACGGUACUGUUCGGGGCACCGGAGCUAUCCGAGCAGGAGAUGGAUGCUCUGUGCUACCAGCUGCAGGUUUACCUGGGCCACUGCCUCGACACCUGCGGGUGGAAGAUUCUCUCCCAGGUCCUCUUCACCGAAACGGACGACCCGGAGGAGUACUACGAGAGCCUGAGUGAACUGCGGCAGAAGGGCUAUGAGGAGGUGUUGCAGCGAGCCCGCAAGCGCAUCCAGGAGCUCCUGGAAAAGCACAAAAAUACAGAAAGCAUGGUAGAGCUGCUUGAAUUAUAUCAAAUGGAAGAUGAAGCCUAUGGUAGUCUUGCUGAAGCCACCACAGAACUCUAUCAGUACUUACUGCAGCCAUUCCGAGAUAUGAGAGAACUUGCAAUGCUUAGAAGACAACAAAUUAAGAUUUCCAUAGAGAACGAUUACUUAGGACCCCGAAGAAUUGAGAGUCUACAAAAAGAAGAUGCAGACUGGCAACGGAAGGCCCACAUGGCUGUACUUUCAAUACAAGACCUUACUGUGAAAUAUUUUGAAAUAACAGCAAAAGCACAGAAAGCUGUGUAUGAUCGAAUGCGGACAGACCAGAAAAAGUUUGGCAAGGCAGCAUGGGCAGCAGCAGUGGAACGAAUGGAAAAACUUCAAUAUGCUGUGUCUAAGGAGACGUUGCAGCUGAUGAGAGCAAAGGAAAUCUGUUUGGAACAGAAGAAACAUGCACUGAAAGAAGAGAUGCAGAGCUUACAAGGUGGCACCGAAGCCAUAGCACACUUGGACCAACUUGAAGCUGAUUAUUAUGACCUGCAACUUCAGUUGUAUGAAGUGCAGUUUGAAAUUUUGAAGUGUGAAGAACUGCUGCUGACAGCACAGCUUGAAAGCAUCAAAAGACUUAUUUCAGAGAAAAGAGAUGAAGUAGUAUAUUAUGAUACUUAUGAAAGUAUGGAAGCCAUGCUUGAAAAAGAAGAUAUGGCAACAUCUAUACAAUUGCAAAGAGAGGAGUUACAGAAAUUGCAACAAAAGGUCCGCCAGCUAGAAGCAAGGCGUGGGCGCAUUUCAGCCAAGAAAGCCUACCUCAGAAAUAAAAAGGAAAUCUGCAUUGCAAAACAUAGUGAAAAAUUCUUGCAACAUUUUCAAAGUGAAGAGGAACUGCAGCAUACAGCCAAGUUUAAAAAAGAACAGUUGCAAGAUGAGGAAGAAAGGAAAAGCUCAUGGGUCAGUCAGGAACGGCAGAAAACACUGGACAGACUUCGAACAUUUAAACAGCGUUACCCUGGACAGGUUAUACUCAAAUCAACUAGACUUCGAUUGGCCCAUGCAAGAAGAAAAAAUGCAGCCACUUCAGCAUCAUGUGCUGAUCACUCCCUGUCUUCACCAGUAACUAUGCAAGUUGAUAGGGUGGGACAAGAAAAAGUGAUUCAACCUUUACAUAUUCAGGAGCCCAGCAGCUUAGGACAACUUGAAGAUACUUUUUUACCUCCCUGUGGUGUUACCACUGAAUUUUCUCAAACUACUUCUCUUCCAACUGUUGUCAGUAAUGAACUUCAUCCUGAUACAGUUCAGGAGACUCCACUUUCUCUUCCUCUUCCUUUGCCACCACCGCCACCGCCACCUCUGCCUACUAAGGAAGAAGCUACUCAGUGCUCUGAAAAAAACAGUAGCCCAGUUAAACAAGAAAGCAUGGAAAAGCCAAUCCUACCAACCACCAUCGCACCAUCAGCUCAUUUCUUUGAUAGCAGUCAGCUAGUCAGUGCCAAGAAGAAACUGAAGAAGACUGGUGAUAUUGAAGGUUUGCAGAGGAGGAGAGUGAGUUCCCCAAUGGAUGAAGUUUUGGCUUCCUUGAAGCGUGGUAGCUUCCACCUGAGGAAAGUUGAACACAGAAAUCUCCCUCCUUUCCCUGAUGAAGAUGACAGCAAUAAUAUCUUGGCACAGAUAAGAAAAGGCGUGAAACUGAAGAAGGUGCAAAAGGACAUUAUGAGAGAAUCUUUUACAGUUUUACCUGAUGAUGAUCCUUUGACCCGCAGCAUCCAUGAAGCACUACGACGAAUUAAAGAGGCAUCACCAGAGUCUGAAGAUGAGGAUGAGAACCUACCUUGCACAGAUUGGGAAACUUAAGGUGUAAUGUUUCUUUAAGUAUGCAUUUCAUUUCCUUGAAUAGUUAUAGCACCUCUGGUGAUAUUGCCUUGGUGUAAGAAUUUCAGAGAAUAUGGUUUUCCUUUCACUUCUGAACAUGUAUAGUCAACGGUUUGAUCAUCACUUUCAGCCUGGUUAAGGCUUACUCUGACAAAUGAUUCAAUGUGUGCAGAAGAGCUUAAAAAAGCAUAUUUUUAAUUCAUUAUAGAAGAUUCUGGUUGGACCAAAAGCUAUCUGAUUUAGAUUUGCAUUUGCAUUAUUCUGAGGUGAGUGAUAUUUUCUGGUUUUUCACUCACUUUUUACAAUUGUGUGAAGCACUAAGCAGCUAUUGCAACAAAACUUCCCAGCAUAACCAGGUCAGGUAUGAAAUCUGGCCUUUGCAUCACGGAAGACUUGACUGUUUAAAAAAAUCCAGUUGCUACUUCACAACAACUUCUUAUACAACAGCAGGAAUUCACAUAAAACUCCUUAUUUCUCACCAUAUUUUUCAUACGAGAGGUGGAUAUCAAAGAUAAAGAGCAUUUCUUAACUGUUCAAAGUACAAAUUAGUGUGAAAAUGAGAAGAAAUUACCAUCAAGACUAACGAAGGCACCCUAAGAGUGGAAUACUUGUAUUUAAGAAUGUAUUUGUUUACACCAUAGUACAUUUAAAAUGGUAUAUAGCAUAACCCAUUACAGGGUCAUGUAUACUGUGUACAUCUUAUAUUUUUAAAUUAGACUUUUCCAUACUCUUAUGAAUAGUAACAUGUUAAUUGCAGGACUGAGUUAUAUUAAAAUUACAUAAAAUUUUAUUUAUAGAAACAAUAUUUUGUAAUGAAAGACUUAAAAUUAUUUUUGUCAAUUAGUUUAACUAUUCUUUGAUUACUCUAAGGAGCUUUAUUUAAGGAGAAUGCAAAACUGAAGUAAGCUUUUAGUUUUACAUUUUGGAAGUUAUCGUAUUUUUUCAGUUUUCAUUAUUCCCAUUCACUGUUAGAGAAAUUAAAACUAUGUAACAGCCUGCUUGUUCAAAAGUACACUUCUUUUUAACCCUGGCUGUAUAAUGGUGUAAACGAGGCACAUAUUUCAGUACAGUGAAUAUCUAAAGCAGUGUAAUCCCAAACAGCGUGACUAAUAGCUGCAGGCAGCUUGUUUUAUAACAACAAAGAACUGAGCAGUAUUUCCGCACCAGGGCUAAUCUUACCUUUAUUAAAACUCUGAUGAAGAAUCUCUGUUUAUAGGAGAACCUUGAGCUUGGCCAGCUUCUUAUUUUUAAAUACAAUUUCAUGUUUACUGUACUUGAGCAAUCAUGAUCCCUUAUCUUAGGUUAGAAAAAACAAGCAAACCCAUUUUGAAACAAUGUACUGUAUACUUUUACUGUCCUGUUAAAAGUAGCCUCUAUGAACUUUAUAUAUAUUGGAAGGUUAUUGAAUGCUCACAGUAAUUCCAUGUACUUUUCAAUAUCUUUUCCUUUUCUCCUUUUAAAAAUAGUUGGGAGUACCCAGAAUACUUGAGAAAAAUUAUGUAACUUAGCCCACGUGAACUCUUGCACAUACUUGGGCCCACAAGAGGAAUGACCCUGGCCAAUAACCAUAGUAAUAUCAUUACAUACUUUAAUGGGUCUUCUGUACUCGGCAGGUGUACUUUUUCUUAAGCUUAUUGCCUUAUAUAGUCUACAAUAAUGUCCUUUUCCAAAGUAAGCUUGAGAAGAGUGCGAGUUCAGUUAGUACUGGAGCGCCUUCUGUUGGUGAGAAAGAGAACAUUAGUACUAUUAUGCAUCAGACAUUAGUUUUGCUGAAAAACUGACAACCCAAGUUUCUUUUUAUGCAUGUUAACCAAAGUUGCAUUAUACAAUGUGUGGUAAUCCCAGAUAAUGCAGGGUUCAGUGGCAAUAAUUCAAUGGCUGCAAAAUUUAUCUGUUAACCUUUAGCAUAAACCAUAAUGUACAUAGUUGGUGUGCCUUUGCUGUUUAGCCACCUACACUCCAAAUUACCACUAUAUAAUAUGUGUUUGGAUUUUUAGCACAAAAGUUGAACAUCUAAAAUUAGUAUGACGUGGAUCACAUAAAGCUUUGCACAAUCGGUUGCAGCAGGGGCUUCAAGCAACACAUUCCACUGGGCAGUUUAUGUAAAAUACUAACAGACCAUAUAAGCAAGGAGACAUAAUUUGCUUAAAACUAGAGCUAACGCUCCUUGCCUUUGCACUGUUUUGCAUCUACACAUUUUAAAUUUAUACGAGAAAUUUAUGAAGCACUCUAUAUAAUUGCGCAGUGUUCAGGCUUUAGAUAUCUGAGAUCUUGUUUUGAAAACUCCAGGUUUUUUUAAAACCCCUAUGACAGCUAAAUUAUUACUAGACUCUGAAACUGGCUUGGGUCUGUAAAAAUUGUUAGUCCAUAGGAACUUACUUUAUAUACACUGGCAGCUGCACAGUGGUUGAUCUCAUACCAUAAUUUUCCUUUUAUUUUUUUCAUAAUCUGUUAGGAAAAAAGAGGUUAAGCUCACUGCCAUUAAUGACUGGCCAGCAUUUCAGUUUUUUCUGAGUUAGCAUCCUGUCCAUUCUUCCAAGUAGACUUCCUUAUAAUUCCUAAACCUUUGGACUAACAGUGAUUCCUACUUUUAUUGCUUAGACUACUACUUGUGAAAUCACUCAGUUGGCUGAGAAAUCAGUCCUCAGGCUUGCGAUUUCUCACAGAAGGUUUAGAAAAUAUGUAGGUAUUUAAGAAGUGAAUGCUGUUUGAAAUGGGUCAAGCUCAAAUCUAUGCAGUUGACAAGUAUGCAUGAAAAAUGCAUUUCAGUAUUUUUAUGCUGCAGGCUGCCAAAUGUGAUUGCAUUUAUUCCACAUUGCUAGUCACUAUUUUUAUUUAAUAUCUUGUCCACAAUGCAUUGUAUGUGUCAAGAAAUGAUGUUAAUAUAUCCCAGAUAUAGGAUAUUGGUAAUGGACUUUCUCACAGAACAACAAAUGCUGGGUAAUAAGUUUUGUGGUUGGGAAUAUUGUAGCAGGGAUCCAAGACGCUGAGAUCAGAUUUAGUUUCCUGCUAGAGAGAGAUUGUUGAAGUACAGAAACACUGAUUGUGAAGUGGUUUCAUCGUCUACAACAUGGGUCCCCAUUCCUGGGCCUUCUUUCUCUUCCUUCCUAACCCCAGUCUUGCUCUUUCUCCCUCACUCAAUCUUUAUUUUACUCUUUCAUUCCGUUCUUAGGCUUACUUCUCCCCUUGCACAGCUCACUGUUUCUCCCUUCUCCUAGCCCUUAGCCACACUUCCUCCCUUCCCCACCCCUCGCCCUCCCCCUCCCCCUCCUUCUCCCUUGCUGCUUAUCCUUACCUCUCCUGCUCUAAGACUUGGUUAUAUGCCCCUCUCCCUUUGCCUGGCCAGGCCCCCAUGGCAGCUAUUAUGGGAUUAGCCACCUCCUUUCUGGGAGCAAUGUUGUGGUGGUUCCCACAACAGUUUCUCAAAUUCCUAAAUACGCCUUCAGGUCCAAAACAAUUUGGGACUCCUGUUCUACAGAACAUUUCCAGGACUUUUUAAUUUCAAUUGCUUGGUUAUUUGUAUAGUGAAUGCCAUUCUUUAGCAUAGUUUUGCUUCUUGUUGAAACCAUUUGCUUGUUAAGCGUUUCAAAACAGAAUAGUUUCUGUCAUAAAAUCUACAAACACAGUAACAAAUUAACACCAGUAAAUUACAUUUCGCAGGGAUAUAGGGUAAGAAUCUAUUUCACCAUAAGGAGACUUUGGUCUUGUGCUUUGUCUUACGUAUGUAGACUCUGUCUUCAAAAUAUUGGUGCAUUUUUGUGAAGCAGUCCUGUGGAAAGUUGAAACUUUCACUAAUUGUCAAUAUGUUAUUUUCAUUUGCACUGACUUUAAAGAGUGAAUUGUAAAUUGAGGCUAUUUGAUGAGCCUAUUUUAUUUUCAGUGUAAUGCUUUUGUAUUUUGAUUACCUGUGUUAAUCAUAGUGAUCUCAGAAGCAUGAAGCAAGAUAUGUCUAGUGUUGGUAAACUGAUAAAAGCAAACAGGCUUACUGCAAAGAGAUGCUUAUUGCAAGAGAUGAAAGCACAUUGCUGAAAGCAUGUGGAAAUUUAAAAUGCUAUGGGUUACUAAAUGUAAUAGUUUGCUAUCAAUAUUAACACCAAUCCAGUGACAGCAAUCUUUGUAAGAAUACACACCUAGAUCCAAAAUAGCAUCCUGCUUCUGUAGCAGGUUUAAUCAUGUCUGAAGCCAAGUGACACUUUGGAGCAUAGCAAUGAACAUAUAGGGUUUUUGCUGAGUUCAUAAGUUUCCUGGAUUGGGACAUUUAUUGAUAAAUGUUCUUUAAUAGAGGAAAGCAUAUUGGUUUGUUCUGAAUAAUGGUUUGAAAAAUACAGCACAAGUUAGUUUUUCUCCUAUGAAUAUAACUAAUUUUAAAGCUUCCAAUAAAGUAUACUUGUUAACUGCUACAUAAAAUCAUAUUGUAAUGAAAAGGAUUUUAUUCCAAUAUUUUUUGCAAAUCUGUUUUCUCAUGAUUUCACAGCCUUAUAUGUCGGUUAAGGUAAUUCACUUGGAAUUCCUAGAUUUGAACUUCAAAAUAUCAACGAUGUAAACAAAAACUCCAGGCCUGGGUGCCAGUUUUUAUUUUCCAUUCUCUAAUACAGGUUUUCAUUUAUCUCUGGUGAAGUAAAUAACUAAGGGCCUAUUUUUGGAAAUAGUUUGUGUUUGAUCUUGUAGCCCAAGUGAGAUGAAGAGUGGGCUGUAAAUUCAAAUAAUCCCAUCCCAAUGUGACUGUGAGAAAAUAAACUGAACUGAUUCUGCCUAUCUGAACCAGGUAGAUUUUGUGUUCAAAUAAAUGUGGGAUUGCCCUGUUUGCUUCUUACCAAGUGUCUGCAAGUACAUUCACCAGUAGCAAUCAUACAGUUUUGCUGGCCUGUAGUAUAUUCCACAGUAAGAUUAAUUAUUUCCUUAAAAUGUAGCACUAAUAGAGAUCAUGGCACAGUUUUGCCAUAGUAAUAAACUAUAAUUUAGUCCCCAUGUUCCCUUUUCCAUUAGCAUGGCUGUAAGGAGACUGGAAGCAUUCACUUUCUGGGGUAAAAACACAGUUGGUUAUGCACAAACAUAGAUCAAACUACUUGUUUAAAGCAAAGAUAGGGAAUGUGUGACCUUGCAGAUGUUGACUGCAAUUCCCUUCACUCCUACUAUGGGCUGUGCUGGGUGUGGCUGAUGGGAGUUGUCAGAAUCUGGAGCAGGAAUGCGAAGAUCGGGCCAGAUUCUGGCUCUCUUGUGCUUAGCAGAUUUUCCCAUGCUCAGCCCUGGCUAGGAAGUGAGCUCAGAUCAUGGCCAGGAAUGCUAGCAGCUUCUUUGAGCAAAGUACACAAAACCUGCAGGUCUUGCACAGAAGCAGAAAUCUACCUGCAUAGUAGGUAUGUGGGCAGUGUGUGGGCAAGCUCAUGAACUUGCGGGGUUAGGGCAGAGAGAAAAAGGACUACAGAGUCCAAGGAGCUGAGCUGAGGAAAUCUGACAGAUUCCCACUCCCCAAACCAGAUUCCUCAUACAUUGCUAAUCUGAAGAGCCACAGAUUAGUGCCAUCCUUGCUUAGAUUCCAUCAAGGAUGGAACUACUGAAAUAAGUUUUGUGGCCUUUGGUCCUGGCGUAUUUUAAUAAGUCACAGUUUAAACCAGGUAUCCCCUAUAGUAUUGACUAGGUGGGUACAUUUGGAAAGUUGAGUAUGGUGUGAGUUGGCAUAACCAAUAAAAAAACACUAAUUUCCCAGAAAGCAAACUGGUGAAGCUGAAAGAAAGAAACUUGCCAAAGAACCUAAUUACCAAGCAGCAGCAGAGCCUGAAUUUGAUGAACCAAACCAAAAAUGGCACUGGAAUGAAAAACACUUCACUUUGCAGCAAACCAGCUUUCCAGUUUAAAAAAAAAAGUUUUUAGCUUAAAAAAAUAAACUGCAGAAACAAAAUUGGGAGAAGUAGAGAGCCUGGUGAGUAUCAAAGGAGGGCAUAUGAGUUUAAAAUAAUCACAGUGCCUGUAUUGCACAGAAGAAACUGUGGUAAGCUUAAGCUAAAAGUCCCUGGGGUCAUGAUAUAACAUUAUAUCCACACUUGGUGCAGUGUGUCUUUCUAAUAUGCAAUUUGUGCUUGGGCACAGCAGGAGUGUCAUGGAUAAGCAGGCAGGUUUCUAGAAACACCCCUCAGUCUUCUACAUCCUAAACAGGUACAGAAAGGACACACCUACUUUCAUUUCUGUGUGUCAGAGAUGUAACCCUUACUGGCUCUUUGAAACUAUGAUUAGCUAUCAGAUUGAUCCAAAACAUUUGGUUCUUUGUGCAGCAACAUUUGCCUGCAAUAAAGAGACGGGAGAGGUGUGUCAGAGUUACUUUGCCUACAGUCCUGAGAACUGCAGCACUGUAGGGAUUUGCCAGCUUUACAGAGUAUGCAGUGCCAUGAGCGAUGGCAGGCUGAAGUGGUGCAGGCACUUUUGGAUAUUUGGGUAUGUGCCUCUGGGGGGUUUGUUCCCAAACCCCAUAGUGUUAAUUGUGAGCACUCAGUCCACACGAAGAAGAGUGAUAAUUCCCACACAUGACUAUGCAGCCAUUAGUUCUCAAAAUUAAUAAUUGCUUCAAAAUCAUUAAAAAGAAAUCCCCCAUAGAUGUGCUCUUUGAUUACCAAUACUUUUCACUUUAAAACAAUGGUAACAAAAUGUAUCAUCAUGUUUUGUAAAUCCAAGUUUAGGGGUUGGUGUUUAUUGCCCACUUGCCCCCCGCCCCCAGCCUCCCACAUGAAUUUAGAAGUAAGGAAUUUCCCAUUCCAUUCUAUUCCUCCUGCCCUUUCUGCGCUAUCUAGGUAUCACUUUCAGGGUUAAUUCAAUGUGCAAAAAUACCUUCUCUAUUCUUCUAAAGUCUAGUUGUGAAAACUAUGUUUUCUUUGCAGAUGGAAAGCUAGGGCUAGCUAGUUUCUAGUUUAAAAAUCUUUACAGGAGGAGUGUUCAAAACAUUCAGUCCAUUGCAUUCAUGCUGAAAUGGUACUGUUUAGGAAUUCCUCUUAUGCUGUGUUAACACACCUGAAAUAGGUAGGUAAAGGUAAAGGAUUCCCCUGACAUUAAGGUCCAGUCAUGUCUGACUCUUAGGGGCAGUGCUUAUCUCCAUUUCCU